GACGAACGCUGGCGGCGUGCCUAACACAUGCAAGUCGAGCGGGGAUUUAAGUGGAAGUUCUUCGGAAUGGAGAUUUAAAUUCUAGCGGCGGACGGGUGAGUAACGCGUGAACAAUCUGUCCCGGACAGGGGGAUAACACUUGGAAACAGGUGCUAAUACCGCAUAAGACCACGGCCUCGCAUGGGGCUGAGGUAAAAGUAGCAAUCCGGUUCGGGGUGAGUUCGCGUCCGAUUAGCUAGUUGGUGAGGUAACGGCCCACCAAGGCGACGAUCGGUAGCCGGCCUGAGAGGGUGAACGGCCACAUUGGAACUGAGAGACGGUCCAAACUCCUACGGGAGGCAGCAGUGGGGAAUAUUGGGCAAUGGGCGAAAGCCUGACCCAGCAACGCCGCGUGAGGGAAGAAGGUUUUCGGAUUGUAAAGCUCUGUCCUACGGGACGAAGGAAGUGACGGUACCAUAGGAGGAAGCCCCGGCUAACUACGUG
This 483-nucleotide ribosomal RNA is filed under the name uncultured bacterium. RNAcentral describes it as "partial 16S ribosomal RNA". It matches the Rfam family "Bacterial small subunit ribosomal RNA", at positions 28 to 507 of the family's 1533-position model. The record is from RNAcentral.